AUUGAACGCUGGCGGCAGGCCUAACACAUGCAAGUCGAACGAGUGGCGGACGGGUGAGCAAGGUCUGAUCACGUGCUUGAUGGACGGGGCUAACUACUAGAAAAGGUAGCAAAUACUGCAUACCAUCGUCUGGGGCCAGAUGGGAUUAGCUAGUAGGUGGGGUAUAGGCUCACCUAGGCGACGAACCCUAGCUGGUCUGAGAGGAUGACCGGCCACACUGGAACUGAGACACGGUCCAGACUCCUACGGGAGGCAGCAGUGGGGAAUAUUGUGCAAUGGGCGCAAGCCUGAUGAAGCAAUGCCGCGUGAAUGAAGAAGGCCUUCGGGUUGUAAAUUACUUUCUGCGGGGAGGCGUUACCCGAAGACGAAGCUACGGCUAACUACGUGCCAGCAGCCGCGGUAAUUC
This 406-nucleotide ribosomal RNA is filed under the name uncultured bacterium. RNAcentral's name for it is "partial 16S ribosomal RNA". It matches the Rfam family "Bacterial small subunit ribosomal RNA", at positions 30 to 526 of the family's 1533-position model. The record is from RNAcentral.